UGAUGAUGAUGAUGAUGAUGAUGAUGAUGAUGAUAAUCACCAUCACCAUCAGCGCUUCAA
This 60-nucleotide microRNA precursor is filed under the name Anopheles darlingi. Its description in RNAcentral is "microRNA mir-598". Lineage: Eukaryota; Metazoa; Arthropoda; Insecta; Diptera; Culicidae. The record is from RNAcentral.